Molecule: long non-coding RNA, 968 nt
Organism: Daphnia carinata
Lineage: Eukaryota; Metazoa; Arthropoda; Branchiopoda; Diplostraca; Daphniidae
Exons: 5
Source: RefSeq, a predicted model, not a curated record
UUCGGGGGCUUGGAUGAGCCAACGACAAUCGGCGUAAUCCUCGUACUCGCCGGGAUAGUAGGGCGAGUUGAUGUAGCCAUUAGGUUCGUUCUGUAAACGUUCAUUACCUUUGGAGAAAUGAGGCACAGCAAUCGCGACAAUGAUGUAAGCCACAAGGAGAUGCCACAUCUCUGCUAUCCAGACACCCAAACAACAACUCCCGUUUUAUGGAAACAACAUUCAAGAGGAGGAAGAAUCAUCAGUAGGAUUGCGAGUUUCCAGAGUGAGCCUAACUACAGUUUUCAUACCCCGUGGAUGAUGUUCACCUUCAGGAAUAUUAGCUAACCACUCCAGUACUGAAGUGCCUCGUGUAACCUUGCCCCAUAUGGUUUCGGCCGACUUCUUGAUUGCUAUCUCCAUCGCUGUGGCAGUAGAUUUCAGAAAGAAGAGACAUUUGAAAUUGAUCAAUCUUCCAUCUUCGUCAAAACUGGGUUCAAGAGCGACGUCAAGAUUCUCUAGUUCUUCUUGGACUAUCGAUGCCAUCUUUGAAGGAUCAGCGAAGACCAUGACGUCCGACUCCAACGGCUGAAAAUCCAUAUUGAAGCAUUCCAACAUGUAGAAUGAAUUGGGUUUGAACUGAACGGAACUCCCUGGACACGCCGAAGCAGUAUUCACCCAGAGUUUGGACGAACUUGUGCUGGAUCACCAAUGGAGAUGUCAUGAUAUGAACUUCACCCAGUUCGACUUCACCCAUGUAGAACGUCAACACAAACGGACAGCGAUGCUAAGGUGUACAACAUUCAAUGACUUACUGUGAAUUGGCGUUAGUGCUCUUCCAUUCGGCUAAUUGGAGUGCGUAAAUAUUCAAUGGCAAAUCGUCCAGUGACCAGAUGGCACAGGCAUCUCGACACGUGUCGCAGUCGUCAUUCAAACAUCCUUUUUCAGACUUACACAAUAUACAUAUGAAUUAAAAGGAUGUCUUUAACUAA